This 443-nucleotide ribosomal RNA is filed under the name uncultured bacterium. RNAcentral's name for it is "partial 16S ribosomal RNA". It matches the Rfam family "Bacterial small subunit ribosomal RNA", at positions 338 to 795 of the family's 1533-position model. The record is from RNAcentral.
CCUACGGGAGGCAGCAGUGGGGAAUAUUGGGCAAUGGGCGCAAGCCUGACCCAGCAAAGCCGCGUGAAGGAAGAAGGCGUUCGGGGUGUAAACUUCUUUUGUCAGGGACGAAACAAGUGACGGUACCUGACGAAUAAGCCACGGCUAACUACGUGCCAGCAGCCGCGGUAAUACGUAGGUGGCAAGCGUUAUCCGGAUUUAUUGGGUGUAAAGGGCGUGUAGGCGGGAAUGCAAGUCAGAUGUGAAAACUAUGGGCUCAACCCAUAGCCUGCAUUUGAAACUGUAUUUCUUGAGUGCUGGAGAGGCAAUCGGAAUUCCGGGUGUAGCGGUGAAAUGCGUAGAUAUACGGAGGAACACCAGUGGCGAAGGCGGAGUGCUGGACAGUAACUGACGCUGAGGCGCGAAAGCGUGGGGAGCAAACAGGAUUAGAUACCCGAGUAGUC